RNAcentral lists this ribosomal RNA (305 nucleotides) under uncultured bacterium. RNAcentral describes it as "bacterial SSU rRNA". It matches the Rfam family "Bacterial small subunit ribosomal RNA", at positions 334 to 637 of the family's 1533-position model. The record is from RNAcentral.
CUUUCCUACGGGAGGCAGCAGUGGGGAAUAUUGCACAAUGGCCGGAAGGCUGAACCAGCCAAGCCGCGUGAAGGACGAAGGUGCCAAGCAUUGUAAACUUCUUUUGUCAAGGGACAAAAUCAGGCUCGAGAGCCUGACCGAGGGUACUUGAAGAAAAAGCAUCGGCUAACUCCGUGCCAACAGCCGCGGUAAUACGGGGGAUGCGAGCGUUAUCCGGAUUUAUUGGGUUUAAAGGGUGCGUAGGCGGACUGUUAAGUCAGCGGUAAAAGCCCGGGGCUCAACCCCGGCGAGCCGUUGAAACUGGC